GCGACCCCAGGUCAGGCGGGACUACCCGCUGAGUUUAAGCAUA
This 43-nucleotide ribosomal RNA is filed under the name Betula pendula (European white birch). RNAcentral describes it as "partial 28S ribosomal RNA". The record is from RNAcentral. Lineage: Eukaryota; Viridiplantae; Streptophyta; Magnoliopsida; Fagales; Betulaceae. RNAcentral also lists the same sequence under 16 other names.